This 253-nucleotide ribosomal RNA is filed under the name uncultured bacterium. RNAcentral describes it as "partial 16S ribosomal RNA". It matches the Rfam family "Bacterial small subunit ribosomal RNA", at positions 524 to 776 of the family's 1533-position model. The record is from RNAcentral.
UACGUAAGGUGCGAGCGUUGUCCGGAAUUAUUGGGCGUAAAGGGCUCGUAGGCGGUUUGUCGCGUCGGGAGUGAAAUCCUACGGCUUAACUGUGGGCUUGCUUUCGAUACGGGCAGACUAGAGGUAUGCAGGGGAGAACGGAAUUCCUGGUGUAGCGGUGAAAUGCGCAGAUAUCAGGAGGAACACCGGUGGCGAAGGCGGUUCUCUGGGCAUGAUCUGACGCUGAGGAGCGAAAGUGUGGGGAGCGAACAGG